RNAcentral lists this ribosomal RNA (703 nucleotides) under Pseudomonas frederiksbergensis. RNAcentral's name for it is "bacterial SSU rRNA". It matches the Rfam family "Bacterial small subunit ribosomal RNA", at positions 61 to 757 of the family's 1533-position model. Lineage: Bacteria; Pseudomonadati; Pseudomonadota; Gammaproteobacteria; Pseudomonadales; Pseudomonadaceae. The record is from RNAcentral.
GUCGAGCGGCAGCACGGGUACUUGUACCUGGUGGCGAGCGGCGGACGGGUGAGUAAUGCCUAGGAAUCUGCCUGGUAGUGGGGGAUAACGCUCGGAAACGGACGCUAAUACCGCAUACGUCCUACGGGAGAAAGCAGGGGACCUUCGGGCCUUGCGCUAUCAGAUGAGCCUAGGUCGGAUUAGCUAGUUGGUGAGGUAAUGGCUCACCAAGGCGACGAUCCGUAACUGGUCUGAGAGGAUGAUCAGUCACACUGGAACUGAGACACGGUCCAGACUCCUACGGGAGGCAGCAGUGGGGAAUAUUGGACAAUGGGCGAAAGCCUGAUCCAGCCAUGCCGCGUGUGUGAAGAAGGUCUUCGGAUUGUAAAGCACUUUAAGUUGGGAGGAAGGGCAUUAACCUAAUACGUUAGUGUUUUGACGUUACCGACAGAAUAAGCACCGGCUAACUCUGUGCCAGCAGCCGCGGUAAUACAGAGGGUGCAAGCGUUAAUCGGAAUUACUGGGCGUAAAGCGCGCGUAGGUGGUUCGUUAAGUUGGAUGUGAAAUCCCCGGGCUCAACCUGGGAACUGCAUUCAAAACUGUCGAGCUAGAGUAUGGUAGAGGGUGGUGGAAUUUCCUGUGUAGCGGUGAAAUGCGUAGAUAUAGGAAGGAACACCAGUGGCGAAGGCGACCACCUGGACUGAUACUGACACUGAGGUGCGAA